ACAACUGGAUAUGAAGUGAUCAGGAGAAGAGGAAUGUUCCAGACAUUGCAAAUAAGAAGAGUGAAGG
This 67-nucleotide long non-coding RNA is filed under the name Macaca mulatta (Rhesus monkey). RNAcentral describes it as "lncRNA (ENSMMUG00000052604.1)". Lineage: Eukaryota; Metazoa; Chordata; Mammalia; Primates; Cercopithecidae. The record is from RNAcentral.